RNAcentral lists this ribosomal RNA (370 nucleotides) under uncultured organism. Its description in RNAcentral is "bacterial SSU rRNA". It matches the Rfam family "Bacterial small subunit ribosomal RNA", at positions 526 to 896 of the family's 1533-position model. The record is from RNAcentral.
CGUAGGGUGCGAGCGUUAAUCGGAAUUACUGGGCGUAAAGCGUGCGCAGGCGGUUUUGUAAGACAGAUGUGAAAUCCCCGGGCUCAACCUGGGACCUGCAUUUGUGACUGCAAGGCUAGAGUACGGUAGAGGGGGAUGGAAUUCCGCGUGUAGCAGUGAAAUGCGUAGAUAUGCGGAGGAACACCGAUGGCGAAGGCAAUCCCCUGGACCUGUACUGACGCUCAUGCACGAAAGCGUGGGGAGCAAACAGGAUUAGAUACCCUGGUAGUCCACGCCCUAAACGAUGUCAACUGGUUGUUGGGUCCUUACUGACUCAGUAACGAAGCUAACGCGUGAAGUUGACCGCCUGGGGAGUACGGCCGCAAGGUUG